AACGCGAAGAACCUUACCAAGUCUUGACAUCCCAUUGACGAAACCUUAACCGGUUUUUCUCUUCGGAGCAAUGGAGACAGGUGGUGCAUGGUUGUCGUCAGCUCGUGUCGUGAGAUGUUGGGUUAAGUCCCGCAACGAGCGCAACCCUUGUCCUUAGUAGCCAGCAGUCAGAUGGGCACUCUAGAGAGACUGCCAGGGAUAACCUGGAGGAAGGUGGGGAUGACGUCAAAUCAUCAUGCCCCUUAUGAUUUGGGCUACACACGUGCUACAAUGGCGUAAACAAAGGGAAGCGAGCCUGUGAAGGGGAGCAAAUCUCAAAAAUAACGUCUCAGUUCGGAUUGUAGUCUGCAACUCGACUACAUGAAGCUGGAAUCGCUAGUAAUCGCGAAUCAGAAUGUCGCGGUGAAUACGUUCCCGGGUCUUGUACACACCG
RNAcentral lists this ribosomal RNA (433 nucleotides) under uncultured bacterium. RNAcentral describes it as "bacterial SSU rRNA". It matches the Rfam family "Bacterial small subunit ribosomal RNA", at positions 958 to 1392 of the family's 1533-position model. The record is from RNAcentral.